This is a long non-coding RNA of Mustela lutreola (European mink), 1513 nucleotides long. RefSeq lists it as uncharacterized. NCBI's taxonomy places the organism in Eukaryota, Metazoa, Chordata, Mammalia, Carnivora, Mustelidae. The transcript is spliced from 5 exons. The record is from RefSeq and is a predicted model, not a curated record.
GGGGGGUGGAGGGUUUAGUACACGAGGUCGCUGUUUCACACGGGACUGAUUCGAAUCUCACGACACCCAAGGAAACGAACUAUGAAUAAUGAUGUGCUGAAAUUUCACAAAGCUUUUGUAACUGGACACUGAAGAGGAAUUCGGCAUCAUGUUCCUUGUGUCCCCCCACCUGCAAGGACUAUUUCAGUUCCAGCCUCAGUCCAAGUGUGCAGAAUUACCCAAAAGAGGCAAUUCAAAGAUCAGCCUGCCCCAGACAUCACCCUCAAUUUUGAUCUUCACUGGGCAACUCGAAAGGGGGUGUGUGCAUCUCAAACUAUUAAGAACAGACUUCAGUUAGGCUUCCCUGGGCUAUGUGGUCCCAAAGUGAAGCCGAGGAGCCACUGGAAAACCUCAGAAGCUUUUCAUCCAGAAGCCUGAGGAAAGCCCUGCCCUUCCUCCAGAGAGGGGGUAUGACAGGGCCUGCUGCCUUUCUGAGGCUGUAUUUGGGAAUCCAGGCACACUGUUCCCUCUGCUCUCAGAUCUCAUAAACCCAUCUAUGGAAGGUUGCUGACUUCCCAGGGAAUGUGACUGGAGAAAAUGGUUCCAAGACUUCUCAUCUCUGGGGUAGUGGAAAUAUGCCCUGCCAUUUCUUCCCCUCCUACUGUCCUCUCUCUACCAUCUGGAACCCCCUCAUUUUUCAGCAUGGGAGAUGGGUUUGUUUAUUUCAAUUUUACUAUUAUUAUUUUUUGCCAGUGGAAAGUCCUGCUCUUACAUGCUCUUACAGACAUUUUGUCCAAAUCUCUUGCUAUGCCAGGAGUCUUUCUUAUUCCUGUAAAGCCAAGCCUUUUGCAACUCCAAAACCAGGAAUAGACUGUUUCCCCCUCUGUUUUCUUCACUAUCACAUGUUUCUCUUUAAAGCAAUGAGCACAGAAUGCCCAGUUGCUUGUUUGGGUGGAGUAAUGAGUAAAGAGAUUGAGAGGGAAGAUAUUGGGUGCGGGAUGCAAUCUGUUAAUAUUAUCCUUCCAAACUUAUGGGGAAAAAACAGAAAUAACAAUAAUGAUAAUGAUAAUAAUAGAGCUCUUAGUGCAAACAUUGAUCCCUCUAUCCAGAUGAAAUUGUGUCCUUAGCCCUAAGAAAUAGUGCAUGCUCCUUCGUCUUUCUUUCUACACACAGUCGGACUUCAAGACUUCAGAACUCAGAAGACCUGUUUUAAGUAAGCAAACUGACGAUGGGACAAGUUGUCUUCUAGGAGGAUUUAUCUUCAUUAGAGAUCAGUACUAGAGUGGUUUUGAAAGGUAUGAUUCUGUUAUUCAAGUUUGUUCUAGGAAUAUGACAGUUUACAUAAAACUGUUACUGUGAGAAAUCUAGACACAGUGAGAGAACAUUUAGUCUUUUACACCCAGAAACCUGUGUAACAGGAAGAAUCACAUUGUAUUUUCUGAGAAUGCAGAGACAUCCUUAAAGUACCUUUGCAGUUUUAACUUGUGUUGAAAUAUGUUGAUACUAUUAAUUAUUUUAAUAAAGAAUUACUUAU